CCCCUCAGCACCAGAUUCCCCACUUCAGGUUAAAGCCAGAAGCCUCAAAGUCAUGAGCCAUCUCCAAGUAACCACAGCUGUGACUUCAGGGUGGGACACAGACAGCGGCGGAGCGGCGCGGGGACGUCGGGCGGCGGCGACGGGCGGAGCGCAGAAGGAGCUCCGCGGGGACACGCGAUGCUGCUCCGCUCCGCGGGACCGCGACGAACGCGCCGAGGCCGCUCCGCACGUAGGGCCGCCGGGCUCCUUUUUUAAUCUCAUUUUUCAUCCUUUUUUUUUUUUUUUUUUUAAGUAUUUUUUUUUUAAUUAUUACUAUUUUUUAUUUUUUAAACUUCUCCCUUCCCUCUCCCUUUUUUUCUCCCCUUCUCCCCCUUCCUCUACUCUCCCACCCGCUCUGUCCCUUUGCCUCGCCCUUCUCCAUUUUUCCGCCUCUCUCCCACUCCUAGCGCGGCGCGUUGAUGAGCUGCGGCCCCCGGCAGCCCCAGGACUCCCUCCGGCUCUGUGCUCUCUCCGCACCCGCGCAGGGCCGCCCCUCACCGCGCGAUGCGCCGCGGAGCCGCGCUCUGAAACGGCGCCUGUUUCUCCCGUUUUCCCUUUUCCUCCUUCUUCUCUCCUUUUUCUAAAGGAGAGCGGCACUCUCGGGUUUUUCUCUCCCCCCCCCUCCCCUUCCCCCUCCCCCCCACACACUUUUUUUUUUCCUUUUCACCUCGCGCAGCGCGGGCAACCCUUGUGCUGCUCACUCCCCUCUCCCCCACCCAAGUAAAGCGCUGUGAAACUGCGCCGCUUUCUACCAUUUUUUUCCCCUCUUUUUCCCCUCCAUUUUUUAGUAAAGGAGAGCGGCAUCCCCGAACUCUCCUCUUACUUCCCCGCUUUUUUUCCACUUCACCUCGCAGCGCGGUCACCCCUUGCGCUGCCCACCCCCAAGCAAAGUGCUGUAAAACUGCGCUGAUUUCUGUCACUUUUUUUUUUCUCCCCAUUUUUAUCUUUUCGUGUUUUUAAAGGCGAGCAGCACCCUCCCGCCGACCUCUUUCCCCCCCGCUUUUUUUUCUUUUCACCUCGCGCAGCGCGAGUAGUCCUCACGCUGCGCACCCCCCCCCGCUAUCAAAGCGCGGAGCCUGGCGCAUGCCCCAGCCCGGCCGGGCGUCCCCCCCUCUCGCCGCUGCCCCCCGCCUCGCCCCGGCUGCCGGCCCCUUCAUGCUCGGCGCACGCCAUGCCCGUGCCGUAGCCGGG
Molecule: long non-coding RNA, 1230 nt
Filed under: Phasianus colchicus (ring-necked pheasant)
Lineage: Eukaryota; Metazoa; Chordata; Aves; Galliformes; Phasianidae
Description: lncRNA (ENSPCLG00000012170.1)
Source: RNAcentral